UACAGAGGCCUCGAGCGUUAGGCGGAAUCACUGGGCUUAAAGCGUGUGUAGGUGGAUGCCUAAGUGCCUUGUGAAAUCCCAUGGCUUAACCAUGGAAUUGCUGGGCAUACUGGGCGUCUUGAGCCACUCAGGGGCUACCGGAACAAACGGUGGAGCGGUGAAAUGCGUAGAUAUAUGAAAGAACAUCAAUAUGGCGAAGGCAGUUAACUAUUCUGCUACUGACAUUGAGGCAUGAAAGCGUGGGGAGCAAAACGG
Molecule: ribosomal RNA, 255 nt
Filed under: uncultured bacterium
Lineage: Bacteria
Description: partial 16S ribosomal RNA
Rfam family: Bacterial small subunit ribosomal RNA
Source: RNAcentral